AUAGAUACCACUGCCAUUCAACACAGUCAGAUAGUGACCAGUGUUAGUAAUCAUAAUUGUCUUUCUUACUGUUCUUAAAAAGAGAAUUUUUUCAAAGCAGGAUUGAUUACAUACACAUUCCAGAGGAGAAAAUAUCAGAGGAAAUAAAUUGCCGAACUUCAAAUCCCAAAGAUUUGAAAUUGUACUAUAGUAGAGUGUCUUGGUGACUAUAAAUUCAGAGGUUUCCCAAAUUCACCUUCAGGUUCAAUAAUUCACUAGAAAGAACUCACUGAAAGCUAUUAUAAUCACAUUUAUUCCAGAGAAAGAAUACAAGUUAGAACCAGCCAAAGGAAGAGACACAUAGGGCAGAGUCUAGGAGGGGUCCAAACUCCAGUCGUCCUUUCCAAUUGUCCACUCCCUGUGGAGUCUUAGACAAUGUCAUAUACUCUGGCCACAAUUUAUGAUACUACACGCAAGUACUGCCAAUCGGGAAAGUUCACCCACGCUUUGGUGUUCAGAUUUUUACUGAAGUUUUAUUACUUGGCAUGAUUGAUAGAUUCUUUGCACACAUGGUUGAACUCACUCUCCAGCCCUGACCCUCCCUGGAGAACUAGCUGACAUCAGGCUCUAGGGGCUCAUGUUAGCAUAAAUUAUAAGAUGUGAUUUGAGGAGCCCAAUAUGAAUAACAAAGACACUCCUCUCACUGGGACCUCCUGACGAUAAAGGCCAGAACUCUUUGGGAAAGGCCAAAUUCCUUACACAGUGGCCAUUCGUCUCUCAUACACAUUCUUCUGAACUGAUGAGGAUGACACAAGCAAUGACAAUUGUUUAUGGAGACAUUUAUACAUUGUCAUUUUUAAUUUCAGAAAUUUUGUGAAAUGAUUCUGAACAUGACUCAAGGGCAGAAAAACAAUCAGAUACAGUGCUAAGUAGCAUAUGUAGUAUUUAGUUUUCAGUUCUGAUAUUUAAUUAUAAUUUUAUUAAAUGUUGGAAUACUUAAAAGACAUUUAAAAAUUAAUUUAUAAACUUUUAAUCUAUGCUGUAUAUUAACAUACAAUUUUGAGCUAAUUUUAUUUAUUUAGAAGAUCUAAUUGGCUUUUUUGACGAUUCAUGAAUUGGGCAGCAUCUCAUCUAGUAACUAGAAGGGUGCUUGCUCCCUGAGCUAACUGUAAAUUACCAGUAGCCAUCACUUUAGUUUGGCUCAUAAUAGGCCUUCACUGUUAACUGACAGCUCCACAUUUCCAGUCAUCCUUUAUUGGGGUUAAGUAUCCGCCCUCCAUUGGAUCUAAUCAGGUUUUUUCAUUUAUGCAUUUAUUUACAUUUAUUUAUUUAGGGUUUCUAAUAUGUUAAAAGUAACUUCUUUAAACAGUAAUGAUACUCCUUUGGGAAUAGUUUACCUGAGAUACACACUUUCUUCCUUUUUUAACUUGAACUUACUGAGGAUUUAAAAGAAUAAUGAAUGCUGUUACAGUGUUUUGGGGUAAUCAUCUGAAAAUUCACUCUAAAAAAAUGUACUUUAAAUGUAAAGUAUUUAAAAGGUUUAGUUAAAUGUGUUAAAUCAGACUUCACUUGUAUAUUUUAAACAAAAUCUGUGGAUGUGAGUUUAUGUGUUUAUUCUUUUAAAAAACAUUGUAUAUACAAAAACACAAUUUCUAAUAAUUGAGGGUUUAAGUUUUCUCCUUUAGGCUGAAGUUUUAUUAUGUUCCAUUUUAUUUUAUUUUGCUUGGAUAGUAAAUACAGCAAUUAAAAAUUAUGAUGCUAAGUGCUUUUUCUAAUAUAUGCAAGCUGCUUCAACAGGUUUUUAAAGAUAGCAACAGUAAUAUUUCUUGGAUGCUAAUAGGAUUACAGAAAAUGACAGAGGUGAGUUUAUGUUUCAUUUUACAGCUGUUUCAAAAUACUGCUAUGAAUUCUAAACUUUUAAAAUCUGAAGCUUACUUUGGAUGUUAUAUAUAUAUAAUGCCCCAAAUUUUCAUUACUUUAUAUUUGUCUCCAUUCACCUUAAAGGCCUUUUCGCCGCGCCGCACAGUUUGCGGAAUGUUAGUUUCCUGACCAGGGAUUGAACCUGGGUCUCGGCACUGAAAGCACGGGGUCCUAAGCAUUGGACCACCAGGGAAUUCCCCUGUUUUUGCUUUUAAUAUUUCAUUUUUAUAUUGUUAUUGCCGUUUUAAUGACUUCAAUCAUGCUAUGAUUGUCAGCUUAGUUUUGAAAAAUUCAUGGGUCAUCUCCAUGUACUCACAAAGUAAGCAUUGUUAAAAGACCUUUUUUUUUAAAUUUAAAUUUUCCCUAGCUUCUCAUUUUGAAAAAAUUUUAAAGUAUAUAAAAGUUGAAAUAAUAGUAUACCCAUUUGCCCUCCACCUGAAUUCAACAAUUAACAUUUUGCCAUACUAGCUUUAUCAGGACACUUCUAAAAAUAUGGACAUUUUUCUAAUUAAAUUCAAUCCCAUUAUCACACUUAAGAAAAUUUAAUUUUAUUGUAUCACCUACGUUCAUAUUCAGAUAUUUCCAGUUGUCUCAAAAAAUGACUUUUUACAGGUUUUUUUGGCUUUGAUCCAGGAUUCAGAUGAGGAUCAUACUUUCUAUUUGAUUGUCUCUUUUAGUCUAGAAGAUCCUUCCCUGUACCCCAAUGGCUUUUUUUCCCCAUGAUGUGACUUUUUGAAGAGUGUAAGUCACUUGGCAUCCAUCCAUGAUCUGUCAAUAUCCUUGAUUUGUUCCCUUUAUUCUUUGCAUUUCCUUCAAACUGGAAGUCUGUAGGUUUGAUUAACUUCAGGUUAAAUGUUUUGGGAAAGAAUAUUUCAGAUUAUCUUUUAGGUUUUAUAUUGUAUCACAUUAGAAGACACAUAAUUCUAGAUUGUCUCAUUACUGAUGAUAAUCAUUCAGUCAAGGUGGUGACUAACAGAUCUUUCCAUUGUAAAGGUCAUUUUCUCCCCUUAGUAAUUAGUAUUCUUUAGGGUAGUAUUUUGGCACCAUGGGAAUGUUCUUUUUCCUAUCAGCCUUUCAUUCAAUGGUUUUAGCAUCAACUGAUGAUUCUUAACUGAAUCAUUUAUCACACUGAGGUGCAAAAUAGUGAUUUAAAAUUUUUUAAUUCUCUAAUUUUCUUCUACAUUUAUUAUAUAGUUUCUAUUCCUCUAUUUUAAAAAGACUAUUUUCCCUCCUUUCUUGUUCCCAAAGCCCUUUUUUUUCCCCCAGAUCACUGUCCUUAAUCUUCAAUGUAAACAUUAUAGCUAAUUACAGUCACAGUUUUGUUGUUUUGUUUUGUUUUGUUUUUCUGUUUGUUUUUUUAGCUGCGCCUCAGGGCUUAUGAGAUCUUAGUUCCCUGACCAGGGAUCGAACCCAGGCCCUCAGCAGUGAGAGUGUGGAGUCCUAAACACUGCAUCUCCAGGGAAUUCCCCAGUCACAUUUCCUUUUGAUGUUCAUAUUGUAAGCCAGUAGCCAGUGGAGGUCACUAGAAGCUAGCUUCUGUUCUGUUAGACAUGACCACAUUAGUCUCUGAGGUCCUCCUUGCUUCAGGUACAACAGUAUGUUCCAGACUUGCCUCGUACUUGUCCUGUUCCAAAGCUGGGGAAUAUCAGCUAUUUCUCCAAGGAGCCCUAUCUAUUCCUUUUAGGGGGAAUGGAAUUUGAACUCCAUUUACUUAUGGGCCAUAUAUCAGUGGGCAGAGCUAGGAAAUAACAUUUUUCAGAGUUCAUGAAUUUAAAUCAAUGUUUACAAUUAAAAAUUAGUAUUACAAGCUUUUUUCUUAUUUUAUAUUUGCCUCUCUUUUCUCUUACAGUGAAAAUAUUGGUUCUGAGUAACAUUAGCAUAUUUGCUUAUAUGUUUUAUUAUAUAGCUUAUGUUUCAGCACUACAAUACCAGUAUUACUAAUGGAAAACAUAUUGAAUAAAAUUUGCAGUUCUCUUUGUCCUUAGAAUAGCCCACUGAGAGUACAUGUUCAAAAGUUAACGUAAAUUACUAUUUUCUCUACAUGGUUAUUGCUAUCACUGUGAUAUAACUAGUUUAGUUUGUUUUUGUUUGUAUUCAAUUUCAUAUUUAAUUUAAAAAUUUUAUUGCUUUUGAAUACGUGAAGCAUUUACAUGGUUCAAAGUUAAAACUAUAUAAAAAGUAUACUCAGAUUAGCCAAGCUGCCAUGCCUGUGCCUCCAGCCCAUUCCUAAUCACCUCCUAUAGAUAAUUAUUUUCAUUAGUUGCUAGUUUAUCUUUCCUGUGUUUCUUUUAAAAAAAUAAAGUGUGUACAUUGCUAUAUUUAUUGCGUUUCACCAUGUGGAGUGUGUUCCUUGCUUUUAAAAUUUCUUUUUAUGUUUAGAAAGGGUUUUCUGUUCUAGUGGUUACCUUUUUACUGAUAACAUUUUAUGUAAUGCCAUAAAAGACCUCUUUUUGCUUGUUUAAGCUUCUACUAUUUGCCGUUUUAAAUGUUCUUUGACUCCCAUCUAAUUGCCUUUGUGACAACCAAUGAACUUAUUCUACUCCUUCCAUCUUCUCAUAUUUUUUAGUUGCCUUAUUUCUAUUCGAAAUGUUUUAGAACAUAUAACAUUUACACACUAUUUUUUCAACCUAGUCCCUGCAUUUGUUAUAAAAUUAAAUAUAUUUUAAGUAUAUUUAAUACUCUUCACCAGUACUUUAGCUGAAGGCUCCCCAAUCAACUCUUGGCUGGAUGAAGCUCUUAUAGUAGAGUACUCAAGGAGGGCUUGUAAGUACAAUAUUCCUCAAGUUCUAGCAUGUUUAAAAUUUGUUCUAGAGCCUAGAUACUUUAAGUACAGCUUGAUGAACUAUAAAAUCUUUGGCUCACACUUUGAGUUUUUUUGAAAAUGUUGCUCCAUUGUUGUGUUGCUUGGUGUUAUUGUCAAGAAAUCUGGCACCAUUUGAUUUUUUUUCCCCCUUUGGAAAAAAUAUUAACUUUGUUUGUUGUUUUUUUUUUUCCUGGAGGCCCAGAUAAUUUUUUCCAUGUCAUUUUCUCUUUUUUUCCUUAUAGCUGAUUUAUUCCUCUCCUCCAUGUUCCUUAUUUUCAUGUGUAUCUGUUCUCUCUUAGGAACCCUGUACUUUAGUUUUCAUUUUUUAGAUGAUUUUACUAUUUCAGUAAAUUGCCUGAGUUUGAUCAACUCUCAUCUUCCUAUUGAGUUUUUAACAGUUUGUUACAUUCUUUCACAUCUGCAGUUGCUCAUUUAAUGAUAUUUAAUUCAUAUUGGAGUGAUGUAUAUAGUUUUCCUCUGCUUCAUAUUUUCUAGAGGGUAGUAUUUUCUAUUAAUUUAAAAGUUUUCACUUUCUGUUUUCCUUUUAUAGUAGCCUUUUAUGGGGUUUUGGUGGCUUUUUCUGUCCCUCGUAAAACAAUGUAGGAUUUUCUUGGAUCAGCAAGAACAGAUUGUUCUACAGAAGGAAGGGGUGAAAGAAUGUAGGUGACGGUUUCAUAGUUAAGGAGGCCCUCUUCUGUUUGUAUGGUAAAGUGCAGUUUCUUUAAUAAACGGCACAUUUGGGGGGAUUGGAUUCUGCCAUACAAUCUUGUUUCUUUUGGAAUAUUUACUUCAGCCACUUGCCCUUCUCUCCAAGGGAUUUCUCUCCCUUCCAAAGUGCCUCAUGAAGUGUUCUCAUGAACUUUCCAAAUACUGGUUCUUGCCUGUUUUCAAGCCUGAUUAUUCACCUUCUCAUUAAUUUUGGGAACUUUCAGGAUCCUUCCAAAUCAUUCCAUUUUGCUUAUGUUAGCUAAUGCUAGUUUCUGUUGACUAUAACCAAAGAACCCUAACUGACACAUCAACCUCUUAACGUAAAGUUUGUGAAUCUUCACAACCCCAAAUCACACAGAAAGCCACAAGUAUAUGCACAGUAAGUCUGUUACAAGAGUCAUCUCUUGUUUACUAUUGCAGCUCUUCUAGCACAAUGCCUGGGACACUCUGGACAUUCAGUAUAUGCUAAAUUUCUCUUAUUACCUUUUUUACAACAGCACUUACCACAAUUUGUAAUUAUCUUCAUUUUGUGUUUGUUUUAUAACUCUGUCCCCCAGUAUAAUUAAGCUCUACGUACAUAAAUAUCAUGUCAUCUAUUGAUGUAUCUCCAGUGUCUAGUAAAACUGUGGCAGACACUUACAGGUACUCAAAUUUUUUUUUUUUUUUUUUUGCAGUACACAGGCCUCUCACUGUUGUGGCCUCUCCCGUUGCGGAGCACAGGCUCCAGAUGCGCAGGCUCAGCGGCCAUGGCUCACGGGCCUAGCCACUCCGCGGCAUGUGGGAUCUCCCCGGACCGGGGCACGAACCCAUGACCCCUGCAUCGGCAGGCGGACUCUCAACCACUGCACCACCAGGGAAGCCCUCAAAUAUUUUUUUGAAUGACUAAACAAUAAUCAGUUGUUAAGGAUGAUAAAGCUGGUGCAGCUAGAUGAAGUAUGAUUUUGAAAAAGGUCAGCGUAACCACACAAUAAAUGAUCUUACCAGCC
Long non-coding RNA from Phocoena sinus (vaquita), 6396 nucleotides. The record is from Ensembl. NCBI's taxonomy places the organism in Eukaryota, Metazoa, Chordata, Mammalia, Artiodactyla, Phocoenidae.